UACGGAAGGCAGCAGUGGGGAAUAUUGCACAAUGGGCGCAAGCCUGAUGCAGCCAUGCCGCGUGUAUGAAGAAGGCCUUCGGGUUGUAAAGUACUUUCAGUCGUGAGGAAGGUGUUAAGGUUAAUAACCUUAGCAAUUGACGUUAGCGACAGAAGAAGCACCGGCUAACUCCGUGCCAGCAGCCGCGGUAAUACGGAGGGUGCGAGCGUUAAUCGGAAUUACUGGGCGUAAAGGGCACGCAGGCGGUUAAUUAAGUUGGAUGUGAAAUCCCCGGGCUUAACCUGGGAAUGGCAUUCAAGACUGGUUAGCUAGAGUCUUGUAGAGGGGGUUAGAAUUCCAUGUGUAGCGGUGAAAUGCGUAGAGAUGUGGAGGAAUACCGGUGGCGAAGGCGGCCCCUGGGACAAGACUGACGCUCAUGUGCGAAAGCGUGGGGAGCAAACGAGGAUUAGAUAC
RNAcentral lists this ribosomal RNA (453 nucleotides) under uncultured bacterium. Its description in RNAcentral is "bacterial SSU rRNA". It matches the Rfam family "Bacterial small subunit ribosomal RNA", at positions 340 to 785 of the family's 1533-position model. The record is from RNAcentral.